RNAcentral lists this unclassified non-coding RNA (343 nucleotides) under soil metagenome. RNAcentral's name for it is "partial contains 5.8S ribosomal RNA, internal transcribed spacer 2, and large subunit ribosomal RNA". The stretch from base 1 to 120 matches the Rfam family "5.8S ribosomal RNA", at positions 35 to 154 of the family's 154-position model. The record is from RNAcentral.
GAUGAAGAACGCAGUGAAAUGCGAUAAGUAAUGUGAAUUGCAGAAUUCAGUGAAUCAUCGAAUCUUUGAACGCACAUUGCGCCCGCUAGUAUUCUGGCGGACAUGCCUGUCCGAGCGUCAUUUCAACCCUCAAGCCCCCGGGCUUGGUGUUGGGGAUCGGCGAGCCUCCGCGCCCGCCGUCCCCUAAAUCUAGUGGCGGUCUCGCUGUAGCUUCCUCUGCGUAGUAGCACACCUCGCACUGGGAAACAGCGCGGCCACGCCGUUAAACCCCCAACUUCUGAACGUUUGACCUCGGAUCAGGUAGGAAUACCCGCUGAACUUAAGCAUAUCAAUAAGCGGAGGA